Maylandia zebra (zebra mbuna) is the source of this 1017-nucleotide non-coding RNA. Lineage: Eukaryota; Metazoa; Chordata; Actinopteri; Cichliformes; Cichlidae. The record is from RefSeq and is a predicted model, not a curated record.
CAUGUGCAGUGUGGAAGUUUGAACAACUGCCAUUUUCAACCGAAACUUGCAUCAUGCUCAGAAGCCUGGAUAAAAUCCAUUGCCAUUUGAGGAUUAUUUGAAUAUCAGCAUUGAUGUUCGACGGGAAUGCGUCCUAAAAACUAUCUGUGUCUACUUAAAUAAAAAGCCAGAUGACCUGUUCAAGGAAUUCUUGGAUAUGGAUCUUAGUGCAAGAAGAGAAACGGAGCAGCUGACUUUAGGAGUCUGUGUUGUCAGACAUGAAGGAGCAGACUCUGCAGAUACACCUGAGGACAUUGGUGUCAUCAUAGAAGGAUACACUGUGCUGAAAGCUCUUAGUGAUGUGGCAAAGGGGUGUGCCCUCCUGCUUGGACUAAUCUACAGUCUAAAUCUGAGGUACCCAAAGCACCUGAAAUACAUAUUUGAAUUUCUUCAGAAGGUGCUGAUGGAGUUGGAUGGGAACAACCUAUCCAUGAAUGUGCAAGUUCUGAAAAACAAACUGCUUGAGUGAAACAGCCUGCACUGAACUAUAGAGGACACUGAACUGGUUACAAGAUUCUCAAACCCAUCUCCUUGCACUUUAUAAACUGUUCAGUUUGAAUUCCGCAAGAACUUCUGCAAGGCCUCAUACUUUUUGGCAUGCUUUGUUCAUGUUGAACUUUUACCACCAUCCAGCUACAUUGAACAAGACUGCUCCUAAGUUUGGACUUCAUUUUAAGUUUUGGGGAAAAAAAAGGUUUUUUAAAUAUGGACAAAAAUGCCACUAAAGUCAUUUCUACUUGUUGUUUAUAGGACUGUAUUGUGAGUUUUCCAUUGUACCCGAAGCAAGUUUAAAUUAAGUCAUGUUAAUGUUAAAAAUGUUGGAAUCACAACACUUUCCAGUUUUAAUAACUUGAUUUUAACAUUCUGCAUUAUGUCUUCCUGUACUUAAUAUGCACUUGCAUAUAUGUGAAGAUAUUUUUGUUUAGGAAAAAGGCAUUGAUCUAGAAUUUUGAACAGCUCAAAGUUUGCUUCAGCACA